This 253-nucleotide ribosomal RNA is filed under the name uncultured bacterium. RNAcentral describes it as "partial 16S ribosomal RNA". It matches the Rfam family "Bacterial small subunit ribosomal RNA", at positions 524 to 776 of the family's 1533-position model. The record is from RNAcentral.
UACGGCGGGGGCAAGCGUUAAUCGGAUUUAUUGGGCGUAAAGGGCGCGUAGGCGGGAAGGAAAGUUAGGUGUGAAAGCCCGAGGCUCAACCUCGGAAACGCACCUAAUACUACUUUUCUAGAGGGUAGGCGGAGAAAAUGGAAUUCCACAUGUAGCGGUGAAAUGCGUAGAUAUGUGGAAGAACACCGGUGGCGAAAGCGAUUUUCUAGCUUACUCCUGACGCUGAGGCGCGAGAGCUAGGGGAGCAAACAGG